AAGAAGGAACUUCUUGCGGGAAGCCAGCAGCCGAGCGGCUUGGAGGCAGCGUACCUUGCAUCACGAACAAUGGCUAAUAUAGAUUGCAACUCACCUCCAGCAGUUCCAAUUUCAACCUGCUUUUCAAGAGGAAUCACAUCAAAGGAAUUGGAACAUAGUGUCAGAAACGUCACAAAAUCUUCCGUGGUUUUACUAAUCUGUGACCUCCACCGGAGUCUUCAAGAAGACGGUGUCUGUGUUUUGUUAUUAACGUUGUGCUUUAAAGGAGGAAAGCUUCCUGCUUUCUCCUUGCA
This is a long non-coding RNA of Sorex araneus (European shrew), 293 nucleotides long. RefSeq lists it as uncharacterized. The record is from RefSeq and is a predicted model, not a curated record. The transcript is spliced from 3 exons. Lineage: Eukaryota; Metazoa; Chordata; Mammalia; Eulipotyphla; Soricidae.